This 258-nucleotide ribosomal RNA is filed under the name uncultured bacterium. Its description in RNAcentral is "partial 16S ribosomal RNA". It matches the Rfam family "Bacterial small subunit ribosomal RNA", at positions 522 to 777 of the family's 1533-position model. The record is from RNAcentral.
UACGGGAAGGGGGCUAGCGUUGCUCGGGAUUGACUGGGGCGUAAAGGGCGCGUAGGCGGUUCGUACAGUCAGACGUGAAAGUCCUGGGCUCAACCUGGGGGCUGCGUUUGAUGACGUGCGGACUUGAGUGCGGAAGAGGGUCGUGGAAUUCCCAGUGUAGAGGUGAAAUUCGUAGAUAUUGGGAAGAACACCGGUGGCGAAGGCGGCGACCUGGUCCGAUACUGACGCUGAGCGCGAAAGCGUGGGGAGCAAAGCAGG